Molecule: ribosomal RNA, 710 nt
Filed under: Trogia sp. BAB-4995
Lineage: Eukaryota; Fungi; Basidiomycota; Agaricomycetes; Agaricales; Porotheleaceae
Description: eukaryotic LSU rRNA
Rfam family: 5.8S ribosomal RNA (bases 255-410)
Source: RNAcentral
UUAAGGAGUAUGUGCUCGCUCUAUCGCUUUUUCUAUUCUCCUUUGUGCACCUAUUGUAGGCUACGAUACAGUCUCAAGGCUGAUCCUUUUUAAGUGCUUCGUUGCAUUUGGUUUGAAGGGCCCUAUGCGGAUUCAUUUGUUGGCUUUCAAUUUGUGUUUGAUGCCUAUGGUCUAUUGCACCCUUUAUAAACUCGUAUAAUCUUAUCUGAAUGUGGUUGUUGUACUAGGUCCUUUGACCUGAUAAAUCUCUAUACAACUUUCAGCAAUGGAUCUCUUGGCUCUGGCAUCGAUGAAGAACGCAGCGAAAUGCGAUAAGUAAUGUGAAUUGCAGAAUUCAGUGAAUCAUCGAAUCUUUGAACGCCCCUUGCACUCCUUUGGUAUUCCGAAGGAGUAUGCCUGUUUGAGUGUCAUUUAAUUUCUCAACCAAUAGACUUUUUUAAGCUUGUUUGACUUUUUAGGUUCUUUGGAUGUGGAGGGUUUCCUGCUGGCUUGAGCAUUCGAGGUCCGGCUCCCUCUUAAAUGCAUUAGUGGAACUCUGCUUCGUAUUCACUUGAGUGUGAUAGUAUAUCUAUCGUCGUCUACAGUGAAUUGAAUAAGUGGUCUGCUUCUAACUGUCUUAGCCUUCAAAGACUAUCUUUUUGACUAUUUGACCUCAAAUCAGGUAGGACUACCCGCUGAACUUAAGCAUAUCAAUAAGCGGAGGAAAAGAA